This 72-nucleotide transfer RNA is filed under the name Salmo salar (Atlantic salmon). It matches the Rfam family "tRNA". From Rfam's summary of the family: Transfer RNA (tRNA) molecules are approximately 80 nucleotides in length. Their secondary structure includes four short double-helical elements and three loops (D, anti-codon, and T loops). Lineage: Eukaryota; Metazoa; Chordata; Actinopteri; Salmoniformes; Salmonidae. The record is from Rfam by way of RNAcentral.
CCCACUGUAGCUCAGUUGGUAGAGCAUGGCACUUGCAAUGCCAGGGUUGUGGGUUCGAUUCCCAUGGGGGGC